AUUGAACGCUGGCGGCAGGCCUAACACAUGCAAGUCGAACGGAGUGGCGGACGGGUGAGUAAUGUCUGGGAAACUGCCUGGUAGUGGGGGAUAACGUCCGGAAACGGGCGCUAAUCCCGCAUCCUAUCAGAUGAGCCUAGGUCGGAUUAGCUAGUUGGUGGGGUAAAGGCCUACCAAGGCGACGAUCCGUAACUGGUCUGAGAGGAUGAUCAGUAACACUGGAACUGAGACACGGUCCAGACGCAUACGGAAGGAAGCAGUGGGGAAGAUUGGACAAUGGGCGAAAGCCUGAUCAAGCCAUGACGCGUGUGUGAAGAAGGUCUUCGGAUUGUAAAGCACUUGAAGUUGGGAGACGUUACCAACAGAAUAAGCACCGGCUAAAUUCGUGCCAGCAGCCGCGGUAAUUA
RNAcentral lists this ribosomal RNA (407 nucleotides) under uncultured bacterium. RNAcentral describes it as "partial 16S ribosomal RNA". It matches the Rfam family "Bacterial small subunit ribosomal RNA", at positions 30 to 525 of the family's 1533-position model. The record is from RNAcentral.